Aphidius gifuensis is the source of this 619-nucleotide long non-coding RNA. RefSeq lists it as uncharacterized. NCBI's taxonomy places the organism in Eukaryota, Metazoa, Arthropoda, Insecta, Hymenoptera, Braconidae. The record is from RefSeq and is a predicted model, not a curated record. The transcript is spliced from 4 exons.
AUAAAACCCAAGCAUUUAGGCCACGCUGAUCUUAUGCGUCAUGGUAAAUAUAUCUCACUUUAUGGUGCUAUUACAACUCUGUUGUUACCAUUAACGGUACAAGUAAUUGGUGGUCAAUAUGGUGUGUUGGUGUGCGCGUUUAAACUUAAAUCAACAGACCCUGAUAUGAUAAUACUGUCUUUGACAGAUAUGUCUGUCUUACAUGAAGUGGUUCUGAUAAGCCUGCUCUUUUUUGCGCAUUUAAUAGGUUUUAUUGGUGUGAUUAAGAAAUGGGCUGCAGUCUUACUAUUUUAUUUUUUCGUCCGUUUUGGCGAGUCCAUCCUAUAUUUUUCUUGGUUCAUAAGUGUAACUAAGGAUCAUAUCAAGUCUCAUGUUAUGUCACAAAUUGUAUUGGGAUGGUAUUGCUUCUUCGCUUUCAUUAUCGAACUCGUGUUUACAUCUAUAAUACAUGUAGUGACAUUUAAAGUCAUAAAAUGCAAGAAGGAAUGAGUGUUUGGAAUAAUUACCGGAGAUCAUGCUUAUUUAGCGAGCAUUAUUUACAACAAAAAGAAAAUUUAAGCGCAACAAAAAUAAAAUAAAAAUAUAUGCAUAUUGAAAAUUAUAAAAAGUAUAUAGUAUU